Long non-coding RNA from Orcinus orca (killer whale), 399 nucleotides. RefSeq lists it as uncharacterized. The transcript is spliced from 3 exons. The record is from RefSeq and is a predicted model, not a curated record. NCBI's taxonomy places the organism in Eukaryota, Metazoa, Chordata, Mammalia, Artiodactyla, Delphinidae.
ACUGCUGCUGCAGAGCCAUUCAGAGCCAGCUCUGUUGAAGGCUCCUACCUGGUCAGAAAUGGGAUGAGUCCCAGAAUUUGAAGAUAGAACCCAAUCUGCAACUGCAAGAAAAUCGAGAUCUACCAGGGCAAGAGCCAGGCCUUUAGGGGGCAGAGUGAUGUCUGUGGAAUUCAGGAUGAAGAAAUGGGUCCCAGAAAAUUUACUUAGGAAGAAAAGUAUGAGAAGAGGAAGAGGAAAGAAAAGUAGAAGAGUUCUUUCCUGGAAGAAGACAGUCCCGAGGCAUCCCCAUCUCACUUUAGAUCCCUAACUCACUAGGCUUCUCCUCCUGCUCUUUGUGAUGAGGCCAGUCCAGUAUGUACUGGAAGUAGAAGGAAUUAGGAAGACAAGAGGAGGGGAAAG